This 1105-nucleotide ribosomal RNA is filed under the name Vibrio cholerae. Its description in RNAcentral is "partial 23S ribosomal RNA". It matches the Rfam family "Bacterial large subunit ribosomal RNA", at positions 346 to 1467 of the family's 2925-position model. The record is from RNAcentral. Lineage: Bacteria; Pseudomonadati; Pseudomonadota; Gammaproteobacteria; Vibrionales; Vibrionaceae.
AAAGCUUGGCGAUACAGGGUGAUAGCCCCGUAACCGACGCUUCAUCGAGCGUGAAAUCGAGUAGGGCGGGACACGUGAUAUCCUGUCUGAAUAUGGGGGGACCAUCCUCCAAGGCUAAAUACUCCUGACUGACCGAUAGUGAACCAGUACCGUGAGGGAAAGGCGAAAAGAACCCCUGUGAGGGGAGUGAAAUAGAACCUGAAACCGUGUACGUACAAGCAGUAGGAGCACCUUCGUGGUGUGACUGCGUACCUUUUGUAUAAUGGGUCAGCGACUUAUAUUCAGUGGCAAGGUUAACCGUAUAGGGGAGCCGUAGCGAAAGCGAGUCUUAACUGGGCGCUCAGUCUCUGGAUAUAGACCCGAAACCGGGUGAUCUAGCCAUGGGCAGGUUGAAGGUUGAGUAACAUCAACUGGAGGACCGAACCGACUAAUGUUGAAAAAUUAGCGGAUGACUUGUGGCUAGGGGUGAAAGGCCAAUCAAACUCGGAGAUAGCUGGUUCUCCCCGAAAGCUAUUUAGGUAGCGCCUCGGACGAAUACUACUGGGGGUAGAGCACUGUUAAGGCUAGGGGGUCAUCCCGACUUACCAACCCUUUGCAAACUCCGAAUACCAGUAAGUACUAUCCGGGAGACACACGGCGGGUGCUAACGUCCGUCGUGGAGAGGGAAACAACCCAGACCGCCAGCUAAGGUCCCAAAGUAUUGCUAAGUGGGAAACGAUGUGGGAAGGCUCAGACAGCUAGGAUGUUGGCUUAGAAGCAGCCAUCAUUUAAAGAAAGCGUAAUAGCUCACUAGUCGAGUCGGCCUGCGCGGAAGAUGUAACGGGGCUAAGCAAUACACCGAAGCUGCGGCAAUAUCUUUUAGAUAUUGGGUAGGGGAGCGUUCUGUAAGCCGUUGAAGGUGAAUCGUAAGGUUUGCUGGAGGUAUCAGAAGUGCGAAUGCUGACAUGAGUAACGACAAAGGGGGUGAAAAACCUCCUCGCCGGAAGACCAAGGGUUCCUGUCCAACGUUAAUCGGGGCAGGGUGAGUCGACCCCUAAGGUGAGGCCGAAAGGCGUAAUCGAUGGGAAACGGGUUAAUAUUCCCGUACUUCUGACUAUUGCGAUGG